GCCAUGGGGUAAGCGAAUGCCUCACGAGGCGCCAUGCCGGAAUUUCGCGUCCGCUAACGAUCUAAAGGACGUCGUAUCAUG
Regulatory RNA element from Sinorhizobium meliloti 1021, 81 nucleotides. It matches the Rfam family "chrB-a RNA". The record is from Rfam. Lineage: Bacteria; Pseudomonadati; Pseudomonadota; Alphaproteobacteria; Hyphomicrobiales; Rhizobiaceae.